AGUAAAAUGCCUGAAUAAAGGAUUAUUUUGAUAGAAUAAAUCAUGUAUAAAAUACUUUUACUU
This 63-nucleotide transfer RNA is filed under the name Curculionidae sp. BMNH 1040049. RNAcentral describes it as "tRNA-Ile". The record is from RNAcentral. Lineage: Eukaryota; Metazoa; Arthropoda; Insecta; Coleoptera; Curculionidae.